RNAcentral lists this ribosomal RNA (371 nucleotides) under uncultured organism. RNAcentral describes it as "bacterial SSU rRNA". It matches the Rfam family "Bacterial small subunit ribosomal RNA", at positions 526 to 896 of the family's 1533-position model. The record is from RNAcentral.
CGUAGGGUGCAAGCGUUAAUCGGAAUUACUGGGCGUAAAGCGUGCGCAGGCGGUGAUGUAAGACAGGUGUGAAAUCCCCGGGCUUAACCUGGGAACUGCAUUUGUGACUGCAUCGCUGGAGUGCGGCAGAGGGGGAUGGAAUUCCGCGUGUAGCAGUGAAAUGCGUAGAUAUGUGGAGGAACACCGAUGGCGAAGGCAAUCCCCUGGGCCUGCACUGACGCUCAUGCACGAAAGCGUGGGGGAGCAAACAGGAUUAGAUACCCUGGUAGUCCACGCCCUAAACGAUGUCAACUGGUUGUUGGUCCUUCACUGGAUCAGUAACGAAGCUAACGCGUGAAGUUGACCGCCUGGGGAGUACGGCCGCAAGGUUG